GUUCAUCGCCAGGGCUCUAAGACAGCGAGCCAUGUUCCUUCUUCUGGUGCUUCUCACUGGACUUGGUGGGAUGCAUGCAGACCUCAAUCCUCAUAAAAUCUUCCUGCAGACCACAAUUCCAGAGAAGAUUUCAUCAUCGGAUGCAAAAACAGAUCCAGAACAUAAUAUCAAUUUUAUCUUCAGCUUCUGUUAUUAAUUCUUAUGACGAAAAUGACAUCCGUCAUUCCAAACCUCUGCUAGUUCAGAUGGAUUGCAAUUAUAAUGGAUAUGUUGCGGGUAUUCCAAAUUCUCUUGUGACUCUCAGCGUAUGUUCAGGACUCAGGGGAACAAUGCAGCUGAAAAACAUCUCAUAUGGAAUUGAACCGAUGGAGGCUGUAUCAGGAUUUAUACACAAGAUUUAUGAAGAAAAAUAUGCUGACACUAAUAUUCUCUUAGAAGAAAAUGACACUUAUACUUGGUUUAAUUCAGAGUAUCAAGUCAGAAAAAGUUCAGAAAAAACUGACUUUAUUAAGUUAUUCCCUCGAUAUAUUGAAAUGCAUAUUGUUGUGGACAAAAAUUUGUUCAAACCGGCUAAUAUGAUUUGUAGGAAAUCAGUUGGUAAAGAAUGCGAUUUCACUGAAUAUUGCAAUGGGGACCUUCCAUACUGUUUGCCUGACACUUAUGUACGUGAUGGAGAAUAUUGUGAUUCAGGUGGAGCCUUCUGUUUUCAAGGAAAGUGUCGGACUUUUGACAAACAAUGUGAUGAUUUAAUUGGAAGAGGUUCAAGAGGUGCUCCGGUUUUCUGUUAUGAUGAAAUUAAUACCAGAGGAGACAAUUUUGGAAACUGUGGCACUGCACACUGUCUUUUUCAACAUAUUCUAUGUGGAAAAUUAGUCUGUACAUGGGAACACAGAGACUUAAUAUCACGUCCAAAUUUAUCUGUGAUUUAUGCACAUGUACGAGACCAAACAUGUGUGUCUACAUACCUACCCAGGAGGACGCCACCUCCAGUAAAUUCACCUAUUUCAAUCACAUCAUAUUAUUCAGCUGAAGACAGAGAUGAAACAUUUGUACAAGAUGGUUCCAUGUGUGGUCCUGAUAUGUAUUGUUUCGAAAUGCAUUGUAAACAUGUUAGAUUCCUGAUGAAUUUAAAAUUGUGUGAUGCUUCUAAUCAUUGUGAUCGUCAUGGAGUUUGCAACAAUUUUAACCAUUGCCAUUGUGAAAAGGGAUAUAAUCCUCCUUACUGCCAACCAAAGCAAGGAGCAUUUGGAAGUAUUGAUGAUGGACACUUAGUACCACCAACUGAGAGAAGUUACAUGGAGGAGGGAAGAUAGGCCACUUUUCAAAAACAACGGUUUCAACUCAUUUUCUACAUUUCUCUACCUGUGCUUCUUAUUACUACUGCCAUUUUAAUAAAACAGAAAAAAUUGAGAGAGCUAUGCUAUAGAGGGGAAAAUGAAAGUGAGAGCUCUGUGUCAGAAGAAAGCAGCAGUAACAGCAAGUCAUCCCUCAGUGAAAGCACCAGUCUCUAACAACCUUGAAUGCUACUGCUUGGAGAGAGGAGAGUAACAAAUACAUUAUCAGAAACUGGCCCAAACCAAGGAGGAACAAGACACAAUUUCUCUCUCAUUGCUCUUGUCACUGCUGAGGGUUUUAAACUAUGAAAUAAAUCAUCUGGCCUGAA
Long non-coding RNA from Homo sapiens (human), 1663 nucleotides. The record is from Ensembl. Lineage: Eukaryota; Metazoa; Chordata; Mammalia; Primates; Hominidae.